CCUACGGGUGGCAGCAGUAGGGAAUCUUUCACAAUGGGCGAAAGCCUGAUGGAGCAACGCCGCGUGCAGGAUGAAGGCCUUCGGGUUGUAAACUGCUUUUAUAAGCGAGAAAUAUGAUGGUAACUUAUGAAUAAGGAUCGGCUAACUACGUGCCAGCAGCCGCGGUCAUACGUAGGAUCCGAGCAUUAUCCGGAGUGACUGGGUGUAAAGAGUUGCGUAGGUGGCAUAAUAAGUAGCUAGUGAAAUCUGGUGGCUUAACCAUUCAGACUAUUAGCUAAACUGUUAAGCUCGAGACCGUUAUGGGUAACUGGAAUUUCUAGUGUAGGAGUGAAAUCCGUAGAUAUUAGAAGGAACACCAAUAGCGUAGGCAGGUUGCUGGGACGGUUCUGACACUAAGGCACGAAAGCGUAGGGAGCAAACGGGAUUAGAUACCCCUGUAGUC
This 442-nucleotide ribosomal RNA is filed under the name uncultured bacterium. RNAcentral describes it as "partial 16S ribosomal RNA". It matches the Rfam family "Bacterial small subunit ribosomal RNA", at positions 338 to 795 of the family's 1533-position model. The record is from RNAcentral.